CGGACGGGUGAGUAAUGUCUGGGAAACUGCCUGAUGGAGGGGGGUAACUACUGGAAACGGUAGCUAAUACCGCAUAACGUCGCAAGACCAAAGAGGGGGACCUUCGGCCUCUUGCCAUCGGAUGUGCCCAGAUGGGAUUAGCUAGUAGGUGGGGUAACGGCUCACCUAGGCGACGAUCCCUAGCUGGUCUGAGAGGAUGACCAGCCACACUGGAACUGAGACACGGUCCAG
Molecule: ribosomal RNA, 231 nt
Filed under: uncultured bacterium
Lineage: Bacteria
Description: partial 16S ribosomal RNA
Rfam family: Bacterial small subunit ribosomal RNA
Source: RNAcentral